GACGAACGCUGGCGGCGUGCUUAACACAUGCAAGUCGAACGGAAAGACCCUGCUUUUGUGGGGUGCUCGAGUGGCGAACGGGUGAGUAACACGUGAGCAACCUGCCCUUGACUUUGGGAUAACUUCAGGAAACUGGGGCUAAUACCGGAUAGGAGCUCCUGCUGCAUGGUGGGGGUUGGAAAGUUUCGGCGGUUGGGGAUGGACUCGCGGCUUAUCAGCUUGUUGGUGGGGUAGUGGCUUACCAAGGCUUUGACGGGUAGCCGGCCUGAGAGGGUGACCGGCCACAUUGGGACUGAGAUACGGCCCAGACUCCUACGGGAGGCAGCAGUGGGGAAUAUUGCACAAUGGGCGGAAGCCUGAUGCAGCAACGCCGCGUGCGGGAUGACGGCCUUCGGGUUGUAAACCGCUUUCGCCUGUGACGAAGCGUGAGUGACGGUAAUGGGUAAAGAAGCACCGGCUAACUACGUG
This 468-nucleotide ribosomal RNA is filed under the name uncultured bacterium. Its description in RNAcentral is "partial 16S ribosomal RNA". It matches the Rfam family "Bacterial small subunit ribosomal RNA", at positions 28 to 507 of the family's 1533-position model. The record is from RNAcentral.